RNAcentral lists this non-coding RNA (32 nucleotides) under Mus musculus (house mouse). Lineage: Eukaryota; Metazoa; Chordata; Mammalia; Rodentia; Muridae. The record is from RNAcentral.
CCAAACAGUUUUGUAAAUAAAAAGGAAAGGCC